CGAUCGUUGUCCUCCAACCCACAGGCUGUUUGGUGUUGGCUUCUCUCCACUCCGACUUCAUCCCGACGUCUCCCUCGCUCAGCACCUCCAGGCUCGUCUGCUCCACAUAUGUCGCCGUCGGAGCGACCACGAGGUGGUGACCAUGGCAAGCCAGAGGUAGUUGGGGAGGCAGCGCCGCAAGCGGUGGGUGCAGGUUCCGCCUCAUUUUCUCCAUCCCAGUCCUCCAUCCCUGCUAACGGCAUCACCUCAUCCCCUAUGGACGCCGUUGCCGUCUACGACAACACCCGCCGCCGCACCCUUCACGAUAGCGGCGCUUCCCAUUCUGGGAUUACACCAUCUCCCUUCUAGGUUUCCGCUUCCAUAUUCCCUUCCAAGAUCAUGUCGCCACGUCCAGUAUUGUCGCACCGCCACGACAACAACCCAGGACCGCUCGUUGCCACUCCAAGGCCUAGAAGGCCUACAACUUCGCCAGAUCCUCUGACAAAGAUGAAUGAUUUACAAGGCUCCAAUACAGAAGGUACAGCUCAUUGCUACAGAGGCUAGAAUCAAAGGGAGCAUGAGCUCCAAUACAGAAAGAAGUUUGGUUUAUCCCGCUUCUUUGUUAUCUGUAUUGAGAUACAACUGAUAAUAAUAAGUUCAUCACGAGGACACAAGUGUAGCUUUGAAGUCAAGUAUGGUGAGUCAUACUGGAGCUCUAUAGUCGUUCAUGAUCAUUGGCCUAUAGGGAGUCAACUAUAAAUAUCUGAGACAUUUGUGUCAUACUGUAUUGUGACAUGUGACUUUUAUAUUAUUUU
Non-coding RNA from Lolium perenne, 794 nucleotides. NCBI's taxonomy places the organism in Eukaryota, Viridiplantae, Streptophyta, Magnoliopsida, Poales, Poaceae. The record is from RefSeq and is a predicted model, not a curated record.